Molecule: transfer RNA, 72 nt
Filed under: Camelus bactrianus (Bactrian camel)
Lineage: Eukaryota; Metazoa; Chordata; Mammalia; Artiodactyla; Camelidae
Also listed under: 3 other names
Rfam family: tRNA
About the family: Transfer RNA (tRNA) molecules are approximately 80 nucleotides in length. Their secondary structure includes four short double-helical elements and three loops (D, anti-codon, and T loops). Further hydrogen bonds mediate the characteristic L-shaped molecular structure. tRNAs have two regions of fundamental functional importance: the anti-codon, which is responsible for specific mRNA codon recognition, and the 3' end, to which the tRNAs corresponding amino acid is attached (by aminoacyl-tRNA synthetases). tRNAs cope with the degeneracy of the genetic code in two manners: having more than one tRNA (with a specific anti-codon) for a particular amino acid; and 'wobble' base-pairing, i.e. permitting non-standard base-pairing at the 3rd anti-codon position.
Source: Rfam by way of RNAcentral
GAGGAUAUAGCUUAGUGGUAGAGUGUGUCCUGAAUAUGCAUGAGGUCCUGGGUUCAAUCCCCAGUACCUCCA